RNAcentral lists this ribosomal RNA (253 nucleotides) under uncultured bacterium. RNAcentral's name for it is "partial 16S ribosomal RNA". It matches the Rfam family "Bacterial small subunit ribosomal RNA", at positions 524 to 776 of the family's 1533-position model. The record is from RNAcentral.
UACGAAGGGGGCUAGCGUUGCUCGGAAUUACUGGGCGUAAAGGGCGCGUAGGCGGCGGUGUCAGUCAGGCGUGAAAUUCCUGGGCUUAACCUGGGGGCUGCGCUUGAUACGGCACUGCUAGAGGUCAGAAGAGGCUCGUGGAAUUCCCAGUGUAGAGGUGAAAUUCGUAGAUAUUGGGAAGAACACCGGUGGCGAAGGCGGCGAGCUGGUCUGAUACUGACGCUGAGGCGCGACAGCGUGGGGAGCAAACAGG